CAAGCCCUGGAAACGGGGUCUAAUACCGGAUAAUACCUUCCCUCGCAUGGGGGUGGGUUCAAAGCUCCGGCGGUGCAGGAUGAGCCCGCGGCCUAUCAGCUUGUUGGUGAGGUAGUGGCUCACCAAGGCGACGACGGGUAGCCGGCCUGAGAGGGCGACCGGCCACACUGGGACUGAGACACGGCCCAGACUCCUACGGGAGGCAGCAGUGGGGAAUAUUGCACAAUGGGCGAAAGCCUGAUGCAGCGACGCCGCGUGAGGGAUGACGGCCUUCGGGUUGUAAACCUCUUUCAGCAGGGAAGAAGCGAAAGUGACGGUACCUGCAGAAGAAGCGCCGGCUAACUACGUGCCAGCAGCCGCGGUAAUACGUAGGGCGCAAGCGUUGUCCGGAAUUAUUGGGCGUAAAGAGCUCGUAGGCGGUCUGUCGCGUCGGAUGUGAAAGCCCGGGGCUUAACCCCGGGUCUGCAUUCGAUACGGGCAGACUAGAGUGUGGUAGGGGAGAUCGGAAUUCCUGGUGUAGCGGUGAAAUGCGCAGAUAUCAGGAGGAACACCGGUGGCGAAGGCGGAUCUCUGGGCCAUUACUGACGCUGAGGAGCGAAAGCGUGGGGAGCGAACAGGAUUAGAUACCCUGGUAGUCCACGCCGUAAACGGUGGGAACUAGGUGUUGGCGACAUUCCACGUCGUCGGUGCCGCAGCUAACGCAUUAAGUUCCCCGCCUGGGGA
RNAcentral lists this ribosomal RNA (723 nucleotides) under Actinomycetes bacterium. RNAcentral's name for it is "bacterial SSU rRNA". It matches the Rfam family "Bacterial small subunit ribosomal RNA", at positions 144 to 879 of the family's 1533-position model. Lineage: Bacteria; Bacillati; Actinomycetota; Actinomycetes. The record is from RNAcentral.